CUCUUAUUAAGAGUGAGUGGAGGGAUUUGGCCCUUAGAAACUCCAGCAACAGCUAAAAUGCGAUGUGCUAAUUCCAACAGUAUUUAAUACUGAAAGAUGAGAA
Molecule: regulatory RNA element, 103 nt
Organism: Staphylococcus sp. HGB0015
Lineage: Bacteria; Bacillati; Bacillota; Bacilli; Caryophanales; Staphylococcaceae
Rfam family: SAM riboswitch aptamer (S box leader)
About the family: The SAM riboswitch is found upstream of a number of genes which code for proteins involved in methionine or cysteine biosynthesis in Gram-positive bacteria. The SAM riboswitch acts at the level of transcription termination control.
Source: Rfam